Canis lupus familiaris (dog) is the source of this 2590-nucleotide long non-coding RNA. RefSeq lists it as uncharacterized. NCBI's taxonomy places the organism in Eukaryota, Metazoa, Chordata, Mammalia, Carnivora, Canidae. The record is from RefSeq and is a predicted model, not a curated record. The transcript is spliced from 4 exons.
ACCAGAGGUGUCACCUCAGGGGGGCUGCUUGCAGGUGGCUGUCCUGGCUCCAGAAGGAGCAUGCCCACUCCCCCAGUAUGACUACAGCCUGGGCAAGGGGCACCCGCUAACCCCUGAAUUACCUUGGAUUUGGUGUGACUUGUGAGUAUAGAUGAAGAGUUCCAUUUCCCCCUUCCUGCCCAUGACGGUUACCCAGGGUGAUGGAGGCUGGCUCAGCUGAUCCAGGAUUGCUGAGGGCUGAGUUUGCAGGUCCCACCCACCACGGCUCGCAGGGGGCGCAGGCGAUCGGAGCACCAGCCCAGGACGCAUGGCCCGCACCACCCACGCACGGCCUCCCGCGGUAGCCACCCCGCGUCGGGCGGAUUUCACCGCGAUCACAGAAACAGGAAAGCCAUCCGAACUCUGAACAGUGAUUCCCACGCGGUGACAUUCUGCGUGUCUGAGAAGCCGUGUCAGGGUUUGAAGAAAGUGCCAGCAGAGUUCACAGUUGGGACUGAGAAAGAGAUGACACAUAAACACGUCCGUAUUUUGUUUCAGACGUGACAUUUCACCUUGGAGCGCACAAACGGAAACUUUCCCUAUCAGAGUGUCCACACCGAGUGGCAAAGUCCUGACGCCAGCAAACUUCUGGAAACCACUCCCCUCGCAGCCAGGGCUGCCUCUAGGGCACACGAUGGCCAUUCCAGCCACAAAACAAGCCGCACUGAUUAGCACAGGCGCCGUAACUCACUCUGAGUAUGCAGAUGUGUAUGCAAAGGGAAGAGGCCUACCCACGGGGAAGAUAAAACUCAAUUAGCAGGAGCGUCAGCAAUAUCCCUGAGGGUAAUAAAGCGCCUCCCGCCGCUGCCUGCCACCCACUGCCCGCCGCCUGCCACCUGGGGGAGAGGCCCAGAGUGAUUGAAACCAGCAGCCCCUGCCAGCCGCCAGCCCCCCGGAGAGUGAGGAGCUUUUCUCCAGGUGGAGGCCGGGGCCCAGGACCGUGGCCGGAAAGUUCACUGCCUCCAAAGUAAAAGCUCUGGCGGAAGAAGAGCAGGUGGGCUGGGAGGGUGUCAGGGACAAGGGGCUGUCACCAAAGGCACGCGACUCCCAAGCUGGCGAAGGCGCAGGGAGAGGCCACGGUCCCUGCUGCUCUGCGUGACCACCCGGCCUCCCCGUUGGCCCCCUGAACACAGGCCACACUGGAGAGGGGUCGGGACUGGGGACGGGUAAGAGGUAGGCCAUCUGCAGCACACAGAGGGGACUUUGCUUUGGGCCCCAUGGGCAGUGGACCCCCGUCCUGGCCUGUCCGCUGUGCCCAGGAAGCGCCGUUGGCUCAAGGUCGGGGGGCCAGGCUCCCAUCAGCUCACCAGCCAGCUCCUCAGAGCCCAGGGUGGGGUUUUCCCCCUGGAGAAGCGGCUUUGUCCCCCAUCUGUCCCUGUCCCCCGUCUGUUCUGCCUGAGCACCACCUCCUGCAGGUGCCAGCUACUUCCAGUGGACAGGCCUGGGCUCCGCACACCCAUCCCCACGGAGGCCCCGCACUGGGGUGAUCCAGCCCUCAGCUUGCUCCUCUGCCUCUGGAAAUUCAGGAUGGGCCCCACCCUGGAACAGUGUUCAUGGCCUCCUGCUGUCAGUCGGCGGCUCACCUGCUGGUACAGGAGGAGCACUGUCCACAGGAAAGGACCAGAGAUGGAUGUAGGCAGACUAGCCUGGGGGCAGGAAGCCGGGGCACAGGGCCAGGUGCUGGGUCACCCUCAGAAACCCACCUACAGGGGCCCACAGCCAGCCGGUGCACCCAAGACCCACAGACCCAGCCCAGCCCAACUCCAAGAACACAGCUCCGUGCUCGUACACCUGUGGGGAAGAGGAUUCUCUGUGUGAGGAAGGAACCCGCCAGCAGCGCCCCGAGCCAGGACGCCCAGGGAGGUGACCCUGACGUCCCCACCCGGCUUGGUCCUCCGCUAGAGCUUCAGCUGCUCUUCCUGCGUUAAAUCUGCAUCACGGUCGUCCUGCAAGGCAGACAUCACCACAGCAAGUAGAGCGUUCUGACCUGGGUGGAGUGACCCCGACCUUUGUACCAGACCCAUGAGGUCAAGGUCAAAGUGCUUUUGGGGAAAUAAAUCAUAUAACCUUUAUUUUAAUGACAUUUAUGCCAAAUAAAUUAAUGCAUUGCUCAUUGUUGGCCAGAUAAGUGCAACGGGGGGUGUGUGUGUGCAAACUUAGGAGCACAUCAGAGAAUCCUGUGGCGUGGGCACAGCAGCCCCGGCCCCUGGCGAACACGUGGCGAGGGGCCCCUUUGGUUACUGUGCCUCUUGUGUCCGCUGUUAGGCAAGUUGGCGUAGGAGAAAGGUGCUUCCUACUGGACGUGGUGAAAUCUGACUGCUGCCCAGAGCCCAGCGGCCAGCACUCCCCUUCUGCGAGGAGGCUGUGUGGUGCGGUGGCCCCCACGCUCGGAGAGUGCCCGGCCACCCUGGGGAGCACCUGGUCUUCUGCGCGGUGGCCACGUGCUGCUCCCCACACCCAGGUGCUCCCUCAUCCAGAUGUGGACAAAGUGGAGACUCGGGGGGAGGAAGGCGGCCCUCACAGGCGCAGCCCCCACACCUCGAUCCCAGAU